Molecule: ribosomal RNA, 460 nt
Filed under: uncultured bacterium
Lineage: Bacteria
Description: partial 16S ribosomal RNA
Rfam family: Bacterial small subunit ribosomal RNA
Source: RNAcentral
CCUACGGGUGGCAGCAGUGAGGAAUAUUGGUCAAUGGGCGGGAGCCUGAACCAGCCAAGUCGCGUGAGGGAAGACGGUCCUAUGGAUUGUAAACCUCUUUAGGCGGGGAGCAAUGCCGGGCACGCGUGCCCGGAGGGAGAGUACCCGCAGAAUAAGCAUCGGCUAACUCCGUGCCAGCAGCCGCGGUAAUACGGGGGAUGCGAGCGUUAUCCGGAUUUAGUGGGUUUAAAGGGUGCGCAGGCGGAAGGUCAAGUCAGCGGUAAAAUUGAGAGGCUCAACCUCGUCGAGCCGUUGAAACUGGUUUUCUUGAGUGAGUGAGAGGUAUGCGGAAUGCGUGGUGUAGCGGUGAAAUGCUUAGAGAUCAUACAGAACACCGAUUGCGAAGGCAGCUUACCAAGCUACUUCUGACGUUGAGGCACGAAAGCGUGGGGGGCAAACAGGAUUAGAUACCCUGGUAGUC